Temnothorax curvispinosus is the source of this 1209-nucleotide long non-coding RNA. RefSeq lists it as uncharacterized. The transcript has 4 exons. The record is from RefSeq and is a predicted model, not a curated record. Lineage: Eukaryota; Metazoa; Arthropoda; Insecta; Hymenoptera; Formicidae.
GGAAAAAUCUUUAUUCUUUAUAUAGUUGAACAAAAUGUGUAUUUAAUCUGAUUUCUUUAUUACGAUGUUUGAAUAAUUUCAAGUGGAGCGAUACCACUAUUUGGCUGUUAGACAUUCAAACUAUCAAUAUUUACAUUCUAACAAAGAUUCACAGUUCACUCUUCGACCUUCUUCGAAUGCUUCUCGAUGGCAUAGAUGUUAUGCCGUCGUAUUCAGUAAUAUACGCUCUAAAGUACCGUGCGGACACGAUGAGACUUCAGAUCAGAUCAGCGCGACAAAAUUUCAUACUGCGAUAUUUUAAAGUACAAGGAUUCACUUAUAGAUGCAAACUUUGUCGUGCAGUUGUUGGGUUUUCAAAAUUGAGAGAACAUUUAAUUCAUUCUCACAAAAUUUUUAGACUAAAUUGGCAAUAAAGGUAAAAAAUAUCAAUACCAUACCUGGGCGGAACUUCGACGUUACAUAGGAUGGAGAUAGAUUUCAAAAUGAUAAGAUUUGUAAUAAAUUUCUUUUGAGUGCGUAUAAAGGAUACAACUUUAGAGUAACAUUUGAUAUGUCGUCAUCCGUCAAUAUUAUAAUAGAAGAAAUAUAGAAAGAAGUUGAAUAUAUGUGGAUAUGGCUAUGGCCACAUUUCGACACAUCAAAGAAUCAGGACUUGUUCGAUUAUGAUAAAUGAAAGCAUUCAAGAAAGUAUUAUAAAAAACAGUAAUAAUUACAACAUUAAAACAAUCAUCAACUGAAGAAUAUAAUGCUGGUAUUUCUCAUCAGAUUGGUAUAUACAUAUAUUCGCAAGCUUCAAAAACUCAAGAAAAUGACAAUGACUACUGCAUAUUUGCAAGCUGAAGACAUUUAAAAAAAUGACAAUGACCGCAUCACUCGUUCGAUUAUGGCAUAAAUGAGAGAAGUCAAGAAAGUACUAGAAGAAAUAUUAUACUUAUAACAAUAACAAUCAACAACUGAAGAAUAUAAUGCUGAUACUUCUCAUCAGAUUGGUACAUAUUAAUUCGCAAGCUUCAAAAACUCAAGAAAAUGACAAUGGUUCAACUCCAGCGUUAUAUGCAUGGUUUAUGACAGAGUUCUGGAUUUUGAAGACAAUACAUUAAAUAGCAUCGGAUAUCCUAAUAUCUUAAAUGAGCUGUAAUUGAUGAAUAAACAGACGCAUCACUGCAAAUCCGUAAGUGUGUUAUUUUAACUGAAGCUCUUAAUUCUUCA